RNAcentral lists this ribosomal RNA (305 nucleotides) under uncultured bacterium. Its description in RNAcentral is "bacterial SSU rRNA". It matches the Rfam family "Bacterial small subunit ribosomal RNA", at positions 337 to 635 of the family's 1533-position model. The record is from RNAcentral.
CCCUACGGGGGGCAGCAGUAGGGAAUUUUCGUCAAUGGGCGCAAGCCUGAACGAGCAAUGCCGCGUGAACGAGGAAGGUCUUCGGAUCGUAAAGUUCUUUGGAAGGGGAAAAAGAGCGGAGAGAGGAAAUGGUCUCCGAUUGAUAUUACCCUUCGAGGCAGUCACGGCUAACUACGUGCCAGCAGCCGCGGUAAUACGUAGGUGUCGAGCGUUAUCCGGAAUGAUUGGGCGUAAAGGGUGCGUAGUCGGCCUGCUAAGUCUGACGUGAAAGGUACCGGCUCAACCGGUGCAUGCUGUGUAAACUG